This 229-nucleotide long non-coding RNA is filed under the name Lathyrus oleraceus (garden pea). RNAcentral describes it as "Pisum sativum (pea) long non-coding RNA (PSAT_LNC038495)". Lineage: Eukaryota; Viridiplantae; Streptophyta; Magnoliopsida; Fabales; Fabaceae. The record is from RNAcentral.
UGUGCGUUGCUUAUGUUUGAAAUAGGGAAAGAGAAGGCAACUGCCAUGCAUAUGUUUGUUUUUUUUUUCAAGAAAAAAAGAAGGAAAAAGAAGGCAACGUGGAAAAUUAGUCUUCUAACUUUCCCGCUUGAAAGUUACAUGUUUGUUAUACUAAAAAAAAAUUUAUUAAACAUAUUAAAAAUUUAAAAAAAUUAUAAAAAAUUAUAAAAAAUUAAUAGUAUAUUUUUCU